Molecule: ribosomal RNA, 492 nt
Filed under: uncultured bacterium
Lineage: Bacteria
Description: partial 16S ribosomal RNA
Rfam family: Bacterial small subunit ribosomal RNA
Source: RNAcentral
AGUGAACGCUGGCGGUAGGCCUAACACAUGCAAGUCGAACGGCAGCACAGUAAGAGCUUGCUCUUACGGGUGGCGAGUGGCGGACGGGUGAGGAAUACAUCGGAAUCUACUUUUUCGUGGGGGAUAACGUAGGGAAACUUACGCUAAUACCGCAUACGACCUACGGGUGAAAGCAGGGGAUCUUCGGACCUUGCGCGAUUGAAUGAGCCGAUGUCGGAUUAGCUAGUUGGCGGGGUAAAGGCCCACCAAGGCGACGAUCCAUAGCUGGUCUGAGAGGAUGAUCAGCCACACUGGAACUGAGACACGGUCCAGACUCCUACGGGAGGCAGCAGUGGGGAAUAUUGGACAAUGGGCGCAAGCCUGAUUCAGCCAUACCGCGUGGGUGAAGAAGGCCUUCGGGUUGUAAAGCCCUUUUGUUGGGAAAGAAAAGCAGCAGGUUAAUACCCCGCUGUUCUGACGGUACCCAAAGAAUAAGCACCGGCUAACUUCGUG